RNAcentral lists this transfer RNA (93 nucleotides) under Ornithorhynchus anatinus (platypus). It matches the Rfam family "tRNA". From Rfam's summary of the family: Transfer RNA (tRNA) molecules are approximately 80 nucleotides in length. The record is from Rfam by way of RNAcentral. Lineage: Eukaryota; Metazoa; Chordata; Mammalia; Monotremata; Ornithorhynchidae.
CCUUCGAUAGCUCAGCUGGUAGAGCGGAGGACUGUAGACAAUGUUGCCAUAGCAGUGAUCCUUAGGUCGCUGGUUCGAUUCCGGCUCGAAGGA